Molecule: unclassified non-coding RNA, 212 nt
Filed under: plant metagenome
Description: partial contains small subunit ribosomal RNA, internal transcribed spacer 1, and 5.8S ribosomal RNA
Source: RNAcentral
UUUCCGUAGGUGAACCUGCGGAAGGAUCAUUAAAAAUGAAGCCGGGAAACCGGUCCUUCUAACCCUUGAUUAUCUUAAUUUGUUGCUUUGGCGGGCCGCGCAAGCACCGGCUUCGGCUGGAUCGUGCCCGCCGGAGGACACAACUCUGUAUCAAAUGUCGUCUGAGUACUAUAAAAUAGUUAAAACUUUCAACAACGGAUCUCUUGGUUCUG